Sphagnurus paluster is the source of this 96-nucleotide non-coding RNA. Lineage: Eukaryota; Fungi; Basidiomycota; Agaricomycetes; Agaricales; Lyophyllaceae. The record is from the annotation of a GenBank genome assembly.
GGCCGUGUGGCGAAAUGGCAUCGCGUCUGACUACGAUGAUUACUUCAAGGGAGUCACGUCAUCAGGAGAUUGCAGGUUCGACCCCUGUCUCGGUCA